Non-coding RNA from Paragonimus heterotremus, 82 nucleotides. The record is from the annotation of a GenBank genome assembly. NCBI's taxonomy places the organism in Eukaryota, Metazoa, Platyhelminthes, Trematoda, Plagiorchiida, Troglotrematidae.
GGCUUCGUAGCUCAGCUGAUAGGGCGCUUGCCGCGUUUGGGGCGUGGUGUUUCUGUCGCUGGUUCGAAUCCAGCUUAAGCCC